GACGAACGCUGGCGGCGUGCUUAACACAUGCAAGUCGAACGGAAAGGCCCUGCUUUUGUGGGGUGCUCGAGUGGCGAACGGGGGAGUAACACGUGAGUAACCUGCCCUUGACUUUGGGAUAACUUCAGGAAACUGGGGCUAAUACCGUAUAGGAGCUCCUGCUGCAUGGUGGGGGGUGGAAAGUUUCGGCGUUUGGGGAUGGACUCGCGGCUGACCAGCUUGUUGGUGGGGUAGUGGCUUACCAAGGCUUUGACGGGUAGCCGGCCUGAGAGGGUGACCGGCCACAUUGGGACUGAGGUACGGCCCAGACUCCUACGGGGGGCAGCAGUGGCGAAUAUUGCACAAUGGGCGCACGCCUGUUGCAGCAGCGCCGCGUGCGGGAUGCCGGCCUUCGGGUUGUAAACCGCUUUCGCCUGUGACGAAGCGUGAGUGACGGUAAUGGGUAAAGAAGCACCGGCUAACUACGUG
RNAcentral lists this ribosomal RNA (468 nucleotides) under uncultured bacterium. Its description in RNAcentral is "partial 16S ribosomal RNA". It matches the Rfam family "Bacterial small subunit ribosomal RNA", at positions 28 to 507 of the family's 1533-position model. The record is from RNAcentral.